RNAcentral lists this transfer RNA (85 nucleotides) under Felis catus (domestic cat). It matches the Rfam family "tRNA". From Rfam's summary of the family: Transfer RNA (tRNA) molecules are approximately 80 nucleotides in length. Their secondary structure includes four short double-helical elements and three loops (D, anti-codon, and T loops). The record is from Rfam by way of RNAcentral. Lineage: Eukaryota; Metazoa; Chordata; Mammalia; Carnivora; Felidae.
GCCUGGGUGGCUCAGUUGGUUAAGCAUCUGACUUCGGCUCAGGUCAUGAUCUCUCAGUUUGUGGGUUCAAGCCCCGUGUCAGGCU